AGAGUGCUAAAUUUAUCUUCAGACCAGCGACCGCGCCAGCCGCGAAUCGGAUCUCUAUGGAGAUGGCCUAGGCGAUAUCCCUGAGCUGAGAGCAUCACCCUGUCCCCGAAUCCUUCUUUCCUCUCUGUUUUGUUUUUCAUUCCCCUCCCUCUCUCCCCUCCCCCUCCAGUCCACGACGACUGGCUGUUGACCCUGUUCAGGCCUCGGUGAAGGCUUUUGGUUACUCCCCUUCCCACCCCAUCCCUUAAUUUUAUUCUUUUGAAGAGUGCAUUUCAAGCUGCCAAGGUGAAGAGAGGGAUUACAGAAAGGAGAACACCUUAUUUCAGUCCUUUUCCCCUAACCUCCUUGGAGACUCUAGAUUCCUGCUCUUAAGUCCAAGUCCGUUAUCUGAGACCCUGCUGUCUGCUACUAGACCUUUUUAAUGCUGACCCUACCCAUUUUGGUUCUUGAUGCCAGCUGUUCACCUCAUCUGUAACGUAUCAGGACUAAAUUAUGGAUACCAUGCACAGCUAGUGAGAAUGGACUUUUAGUACCU
RNAcentral lists this small RNA (535 nucleotides) under Pan troglodytes (chimpanzee). Its description in RNAcentral is "processed transcript". Lineage: Eukaryota; Metazoa; Chordata; Mammalia; Primates; Hominidae. The record is from RNAcentral.